Molecule: ribosomal RNA, 253 nt
Filed under: uncultured bacterium
Lineage: Bacteria
Description: partial 16S ribosomal RNA
Rfam family: Bacterial small subunit ribosomal RNA
Source: RNAcentral
UACGUAGGCAGCGAGCGUUGUUCGGAGUUACUGGGCGUAAAGAGUGCGUAGGCGGUUUUCUAAGUUUGGUGUGAAAUCUCCCGGCUUAACUGGGAGGGUGCGCCGAAGACUGGAAGGCUUGAGUAUGGGAGAGGUAAGCGGAAUUCCAGGUGUAGCGGUGAAAUGCGUAGAUAUCUGGAGGAAUACCGGUGGCGAAGGCGGCAUCCUGGACCGGCAUUGACGCUGAAGCGCGAAAGCUAGGGGAGCAAACGGG